This is a long non-coding RNA of Bubalus bubalis (water buffalo), 1579 nucleotides long. RefSeq lists it as uncharacterized. Lineage: Eukaryota; Metazoa; Chordata; Mammalia; Artiodactyla; Bovidae. The transcript has 2 exons. The record is from RefSeq and is a predicted model, not a curated record.
CAGGGAGGGAGGGGGCAGAGAGAGGCAGAGACUGCAUUGGAUUUCCGCUUGGCUCCCACCCAUGGCUAAUGGAAUCCGAGGGUCCGAGAGGACCCCAGGACCCUCUGGGCUUUGUCGGGAGGGGUUGGGUAGUGGGGGUGGGGGAGAAGGGGAGCAGUUAUGAGGCCCGUGGGGCAGAAGAGGCCCCAUCUCAGCCACCAGUCUGAACCCUGCUGUGUGAUCCUGGGCCAAUCCCUGGCCCUGCCCCUUCCUGGCUCAGGGACUGUGGCCUGGAACGUGGAUGAGGCAGCUGUGGUUCCAGCAGCCAUCUAGGACCAUGAAGUGAUCAGGAGAAUGAAAGCCCCAUGCCAGCGACGAUGGAGCAGAAAGACAGAAAGGGCUGUGUUUCUAAUGACACUGUGGCGCCAUCAUCCCAGCUCUGCUCAUGGUCACCUUUUAUGUGUGAGAGAAAUAAUCUUCUGUCUAUGUAAGCCGCUCCUGAACGUAUCAGUUUCUCUUUUAUCUUGUAUUCUAGUGUUGUCUUUGUUCGUGUUAUGUCCAAUCUCUCUUACUGGCCACUGAAGAAAAAUUCUCACUGAUAUAUAUGUCACUGACUCUUAUGUGAACUUGGAGGGGUGGGGUGAAUACGGAUGCUAUUUCCCAUUUUGGGUCUGGAUAGUGUUCUUGGGGUUAACAGUAUGGGCUAAAAUCCAUCCUCACUUCCUAGCUGUGCCAUUGCCUGGAAACCUCAUAUUGGAGAACACUGAUUUAGCCAGUAGUUUUCAACUCCAUGGAAUUCCCUUAGUGUCCACUUAGGUAGGGAGAGUCACUGGACAGAACUUUUAGUUCUCUCCUUCCUUCAUUGGCCAGAAUUGGUCACAUGACCACCUGAAACUGCAAGACAGUCUGGGAAAGUGAGUAUCUGGCAUUUUCAGCUUCCUUUAAGGGAGGCAGUGCCUCGGUCAUAAAAGAGCAAAGAGGAGUGGCUGCUGGGGAAGUAUCCACAUAUCUUCCCUCGCUAUAUAUAUUUAUUGAGCAUCUAAUCUACUCUACUUCAAUCAAAACAGUUUCUUUUAUAUAUUAGUCUUCUCUGUCUCUUAUCAUACUUGCCAAAAGUUUGUUGAUUUCUCUGGUAUUUUCAAAGAGCCAGCUUUAGGUUUUAUUGACUAGCUCUGUUUGAUUUUAUAUUUCAUCAAUUUCUGCUUUUACCUUUCUUAAUUUCUUACAUUUUUUCUUUGGUUUAUUUCAUGGACUUUUUCUAGUUUCUUGAGUGGUAACCUUAUUUUGCUCAAUUUCAAAAUCUUUUCUUUUUGGUACUCUCAAUGUAUUUAAGCAUUUUAAUGCUAUCAUCCUGCUCCGAGUGUGGCUUUGAUCAUAUCCCAUAGUCUCUAUAUAUAAUAUUUUCACUGUCAUUUGAUUUUGGUUGCUAUUUUACAUUUUAAUUGCCUCUGUAAUCCACGUAUCAUUUAAAUGCAAGAAUUUUUUUUUUCAACAGUGUGUAGAAAGUUGGUGGUGGUGGGAGAAGAGGGCUAUGGCUUUUGAAUUGAUAUCUGCUUUUAUUGCAUUGUGAUUUAAUAUAUUAAAAAUGUUUUAAAAAUAA